AAGUAAAUCAAAAAAAUGAGAUAAAGACUGGGCUCUAAGGAGCUCCGUUUCAGAUCAGCAUUGCCAGUAUGACUUUAAAGCGUGAGCACCAAGAAUCAGCUUGGACCUACCUUGCUUGGAUACUACUGGUCAACUCCCAGAGAGACACUGAUUGCAUGAGACUGCCCCUUCUGGCAGCUGGUCUGUUUUACUUUUCUUUUCUUUCUCUUUUUCUUAAAUAACAACAGGAUUCUGCAGAAAGUGUUACCUAGGCUACCCUAAAUUAUCUUCAUUAAUACUGGGAAGCAGUGAUACAUCCAGUCAGAACCUGCAUCUGUGAAGGAAGAUGUCUUUGUGUUAAUCAGUAC
This 347-nucleotide long non-coding RNA is filed under the name Bos taurus (domestic cattle). Its description in RNAcentral is "long non-coding RNA NONBTAT008076". The record is from RNAcentral. Lineage: Eukaryota; Metazoa; Chordata; Mammalia; Artiodactyla; Bovidae.